This 433-nucleotide ribosomal RNA is filed under the name uncultured bacterium. Its description in RNAcentral is "partial 16S ribosomal RNA". It matches the Rfam family "Bacterial small subunit ribosomal RNA", at positions 29 to 507 of the family's 1533-position model. The record is from RNAcentral.
AACGAACGCUGGCGGCAUGCCUAACACAUGCAAGUCGAACGAGACCUUCGGGUCUAGUGGCGCACGGGUGCGUAACGCGUGGGAAUCUGCCCUUGGGUUCGGAAUAACAGUGAGAAAUUACUGCUAAUACCGGAUGAUGUCUUCGGACCAAAGAUUUAUCGCCCAGGGAUGAGCCCGCGUAGGAUUAGCUAGUUGGUGGGGUAAUGGCCUACCAAGGCGACGAUCCUUAGCUGGUCUGAGAGGAUGAUCAGCCACACUGGGACUGAGAAACGGCCCAGACUCCUACGGGAGGCAGCAGUGGGGAAUAUUGGACAAUGGGCGCAAGCCUGAUCCAGCAAUGACGCGUGAGUGAUGAAGGCCUUAGGGUUGUAAAGCUCUUUUACGCGGGAUGAUAAUGACAGUACCGGGAGAAUAAGCUCCGGCUAACUCCGUG